This 468-nucleotide ribosomal RNA is filed under the name uncultured bacterium. Its description in RNAcentral is "partial 16S ribosomal RNA". It matches the Rfam family "Bacterial small subunit ribosomal RNA", at positions 28 to 507 of the family's 1533-position model. The record is from RNAcentral.
GACGAACGCUGGCGGCGUGCUUAACACAUGCAAGUCGAACGGUGAAGCUCCAGCUUGCUGGAGUGGAUCAGUGGCGAACGGGUGAGUAACACGUGAGCAACCUGCCCCUGACUCUGGAAUAAGCGCUGGAAACGGCGUCUAAUACUGGAUACGAGAAGGGUCCGCAUGGGCACUUUCUGGAAAGUUGUUCGGUUGGGGAUGUGCUCGCGGCCUAUCAGCUUGUUGGUGAGGUAAUGGCUCACCAAGGCGACGACGGGUAGCCGGCCUGAGAGGGCGACCGGGCACACUGGGACUGAGACACGGCCCAGACUCCUACGGGAGGCAGCAGUGGGGAAUAUUGCACAAUGGGCGAAAGCCUGAUGCAGCGACGCCGCGUGAGGGAUGACGGCCUUCGGGUUGUAAACCUCUUUCAGCAGGGAAGAAGCGAAAGUGACGGUACCUGCAGAAGAAGCACCGGCUAACUACGUG